AGAUUGAACGCUUGGCGGUCAUGCCUAACACACGCAAGUCGAGCGGGCAGCGCGGGGGCGACCCUGGCGGCGAGCGGCGGACGGGUGAGUAAGGCAUCGGAAUCUGCCCUGAAUGUGGGGGUAUAACCGUAGGGAAACUUACGUCUAAUACCGCAUACGACCGAGAGGUGAAAGCGGGGGACCGAAAGGCCUCGCGCAGCAGGAUGAAGCCGAUGUCCGAUUAGCUGGUUGGUGGGGUAACGGCCCACCAAGGCGACGAUCGGUAGCUGGUCUGAGAGGAUGAUCGAGCCACACUGGGACUGAGAC
RNAcentral lists this ribosomal RNA (306 nucleotides) under uncultured prokaryote. Its description in RNAcentral is "bacterial SSU rRNA". It matches the Rfam family "Bacterial small subunit ribosomal RNA", at positions 26 to 325 of the family's 1533-position model. The record is from RNAcentral.